Molecule: long non-coding RNA, 700 nt
Organism: Betta splendens (Siamese fighting fish)
Lineage: Eukaryota; Metazoa; Chordata; Actinopteri; Anabantiformes; Osphronemidae
Exons: 2
Source: RefSeq, a predicted model, not a curated record
GGGCUCGACUGGACUGGAGGCUGAACUGGGCUCGACUGGACUGGAGACUGAACUGGGCUCGACUGGACUGGAGACUGAACUGGGCUCGACUGGACUGGACUCGACUGGGCUGAAACCUGAACUGGGCUCGACUGGGCUGGGCUCGACUGGGCUGGGCUCGACUGGGCUAGAACCUGGACUGGAGACUGAACAGCGCGCGGCUGGACUGGAGACUGAACAGCGCGCGGCUGGACUGGAGACUGAACAGAACACGGCUGAGCAGGGGACCACGGAGACAGGGGGCCGCACGAGAGCAGGAAAUCCUCCCAGCGGCGUAAACGUGGGGCUGGGCAGGUUGGUGCAAUCAUGACGGUCUGACGGGGCUGGGCGGAGGAAACCGAAACCAUCGGCGGUGCAACCGGGGCUGGCGUGGCCCGAGCGGACGACGUGGAUGCGGGUGUGGUGUCGAGUGCGCUGCUUAGCUCCUCAAGCCGCGCGCACAAUUGUUCGUAGAGGCGGCGGACACUGGGGAUUUCUAGUACGCCGUCCUCGUCCUCCAAGGACCACACCGCCACCUCUACGGCGCUGCGCUGGGUUUCCGGGUUGGGCGCCCUUCGGUAAUCCUCCGCGAGGAUCGAAAAAUACCGACGGAGGUCGCUGGGUAGCUCGGCGCAUGUAAACUUCAUUUCCCCGCAGGUGAAAUGAGACUCGCCGCCAAAAA